UAUAUUUGACCAUGGGGGCAAACCUUAUCCAGCCAUGCCGCGGGUGUGAAGCAGGUCUAAGGCAANUAAAGCUCUUUAAGUUGGGGNGAAGGGCUUUAGGCUAUUACCCUGAAGUUUUGACGUUACCAACAGAAUAAGCACCGGCUAACUCUGUGCCAUCAGCCGCGGUAAUACAGAGGGUGCAAGCGUUAAUCGGAAUUACUUGGCGUAAAGCGCGCGUAGGUGGUUCAGUAAGAUGGGUGUGAAAUCCCCGGGCUUAACCUGGGAACUGCUUUCAUAACUGCUGAGCUAGAGUACGGUAGAGGGUAGUGGAAUUUCCUGUGUAGCGGUGAAAUGCGUAGAUAUAGGAAGGAACACCAGUGGCGAAGGCGACUACCUGGACUGAUACUGACACUGAGGUGCGAAAGCGUGGGGAGCAAACA
This 422-nucleotide ribosomal RNA is filed under the name uncultured bacterium. RNAcentral's name for it is "partial 16S ribosomal RNA". It matches the Rfam family "Bacterial small subunit ribosomal RNA", at positions 359 to 774 of the family's 1533-position model. The record is from RNAcentral.